This 468-nucleotide ribosomal RNA is filed under the name uncultured bacterium. RNAcentral describes it as "partial 16S ribosomal RNA". It matches the Rfam family "Bacterial small subunit ribosomal RNA", at positions 28 to 507 of the family's 1533-position model. The record is from RNAcentral.
GACGAACGCUGGCGGCGUGCUUAACACAUGCAAGUCGAACGGAAAGGCCCUGCUUUUGUGGGGUGCUCGAGUGGCGAACGGGUGAGUAACACGUGAGUAACCUGCCCUUGACUUUGGGAUAACUUCAGGAAACUGGGGCUAAUACCGGAUAGGAGCUCCUGCUGCAUGGUGGGGGUUGGAAAGUUUCGGCGGUUGGGGAUGGACUCGCGGCUUAUCAGCUUGUUGGUGGGGUAGUGGCUUACCAAGGCUUUGACGGGUAGCCGGCCUGAGAGGGUGACCGGCCACAUUGGGCCUGAGAUACGGCCCAGACUCCUACGUGAGGCAGCAGUGGGGAAUAUUGCACAAUGGGCGGACGCCUGAUGCAGCAACGCCGCGUGCGGGAUGACGGCCUUCGGGUUGUAAACCGCUUUCGCCUGUGACGAAGCGUGAGUGACGGUACUGGGUAAAGAAGCACCGGCUAACUACGUG